GAGGGUAGAGCUCAGUGGUAGAGCACCAGCUUAGCAUGCACAAGGUCCUGGGUUCAAUGCCCAGUGCUUCCC
RNAcentral lists this transfer RNA (72 nucleotides) under Camelus bactrianus (Bactrian camel). It matches the Rfam family "tRNA". From Rfam's summary of the family: Transfer RNA (tRNA) molecules are approximately 80 nucleotides in length. Their secondary structure includes four short double-helical elements and three loops (D, anti-codon, and T loops). Further hydrogen bonds mediate the characteristic L-shaped molecular structure. tRNAs have two regions of fundamental functional importance: the anti-codon, which is responsible for specific mRNA codon recognition, and the 3' end, to which the tRNAs corresponding amino acid is attached (by aminoacyl-tRNA synthetases). tRNAs cope with the degeneracy of the genetic code in two manners: having more than one tRNA (with a specific anti-codon) for a particular amino acid; and 'wobble' base-pairing, i.e. permitting non-standard base-pairing at the 3rd anti-codon position. The record is from Rfam by way of RNAcentral. Lineage: Eukaryota; Metazoa; Chordata; Mammalia; Artiodactyla; Camelidae. RNAcentral also lists the same sequence under 2 other names.